UUUUAAAUGUAAAUAGUUUAUUUAAAUUAGUAUUAGUUAUGUUCUUUAAAGUUAAAGAUUUUGGCGGUAUUUUAGUCUAUUUAGAGGAACCUGUUCUAUAAUUGAUAAUCCACGAUUAGAGUUACUUAAUUUAUUAAUUUAUAUAUCGUUGUUAUUAAAGAUUUUAUAAGAAAUUAAUUUUUAAGAUUUUAAAUUAAAAAAUAUAUCAAAUCAAGGUGUAGUUUAUAGUUAAGAAGAAAUGGGUUACAAUAAGUUUAUUUAUAUGGAUUUAAUUUUUAAAUAUAUUAGUGAAGGAGGAUUUAAUAGUAAAUAAAUUAAUAUUUUUUUUUUGAUUUUAGCUCUAAAAUAUGU
RNAcentral lists this ribosomal RNA (351 nucleotides) under Matus bicarinatus. RNAcentral describes it as "partial 12S ribosomal RNA". Lineage: Eukaryota; Metazoa; Arthropoda; Insecta; Coleoptera; Dytiscidae. The record is from RNAcentral.